Molecule: ribosomal RNA, 1344 nt
Filed under: metagenome
Description: bacterial LSU rRNA
Rfam family: Bacterial large subunit ribosomal RNA
Source: RNAcentral
GCUUAGAAGCAGCCACUCAUUUAAAGAGUGCGUAAUAGCUCACUGGUCGAGUGAUUCUGCGCCGAAAAUUUCCGGGGCUAAAACUUACUACCGAAGCUACGGCAUCAUUAUGAUGGGUAGGGGAGCUUUCUAUACGGGUUGAAGCAUGACCGUAAGGACAUGUGGACUGUAUAGAAGUGAGAAUGUUGGCAUGAGUAGCGAGAUGUGGGUGAGAAUCCCACAGGCCGUAAACCCAAGGUUUCCAGGGGAAGGUUCGUCCGCCCUGGGUUAGUCAGGACCUAAGCCGAGGCCGAAAGGCGUAGGUGAUGGACAACAGGUUGAUAUUCCUGUACCACCAAUAACCGUUUGAGAAAUGGGAUGACACAGUAGGAUAAGCUAACCGCACUGUUGGUUAUGUGCGGGCAAGUAUUGAGGCAGUUCCGAUAGGCAAAUCCGUCGGAAUAAUGCUGGGGUACGAUGCGGAGCGAAAUUAAGUAGCGAAGUAGCUGAUUUCACACUGUCGAGAAAAGUCUCUAUCGAGGUUAAAGGUGCCUGUACCGCAAACCGACACAGGUGGGUGAGGAGAGUAUCCUAAGGCCAGCGAGAGAACUGUUGUUAAGGAACUCGGCAAAAUGACCCCGUAACUUAGGGAGAAGGGGUGCCUUCGAAAGAAGGCCGCAGAGAAUAGGCCCAAGCGACUGUUUACCAAAAACAUAGGUUUCUGCUAAGUCGCAAGACGAUGUAUAGGAGCUGACGCCUGCCCGGUGCUGGAAGGUUAAGGGGAUCUGUUAGAGCAAUCGAAGCAGUGAACUUAAGCCCCAGUAAACGGCGGCCGUAACUAUAACGGUCCUAAGGUAGCGAAAUUCCUUGUCGGGUAAGUUCCGACCCGCACGAAAGGCGUAACGAUUUGGGCACUGUCUCAACAACAGACUCGGUGAAAUUGUAAUACCGGUGAAGAUGCCGGUUACCUGCGACAGGACGGAAAGACCCCAUGGAGCUUUACUGUAGCUUGACAUUGAGUCUCGGUGCUACAUGUACAGGAUAGGUGGGAGACUAUGAAGCAUGGACGUCAGUCUGUGUGGAGUCAUCCUUGGGAUACCACCCUUGUAGUACUGGGAUUCUAACCAGAGGCCAUGAAUCUGGUCUUGGGACACUGUCAGGUGGACAGUUUGACUGGGGCGGUCGCCUCCCAAAAAGUAACGGAGGCGCUCAAAGGUUCUCUCAGUACGGUCGGAAAUCGUACGAAGAGUGUAAAGGCAAAAGAGAGCUUGAUUGCAAGACAUACAGGUCGAGCAAGGACGAAAGUCGGACUUAGUGAUCCGGUGGUUCCGCAUGGAAGGGCCAUCGCUCAACGGAUAAAAGCUA